AGAGUUUGAUCCUGGCUCAGAAUCAACGCUGGCGGCGCGCUUAACACAUGCAAGUCGAGCGAGAAAGGGGAGCAAUCCCUGAGUACAGCGGCGUACGGGUGAGUAACACGUGGGUAAUCUACCUCUUAGUGGGGAAUAACCCUGGGAAACCGGGGCUAAUACCGCAUAAGCCUGAGAAGGGAAAGCAGCAAUGCGCUGAGAGAGGAGCCCGCGGCCGAUUAGCUAGUUGGUGAGGUAACGGCCCACCAAGGCGACGAUCGGUAGCCGGCCUGAGAGGGCACACGGCCACACUGGCACUGAAACACGGGCCAGACUCCUACGGGAGGCAGCAGUGGGGAAUCUUGCACAAUGGAGGCAACUCUGAUGCAGCGACGCCGCGUGAGCGAUGAAGCCCUUCGGGGUGUAAAGCUCUUUCGGCAGGGACGAUAAUGACGGUACCUGAAGAAGAAGCUGCGGCUAACUACGUGCCAGCAGCCGCGGUAAUACGUAGGCAGCGAGCGUUGUUCGGAAUUACUGGGCGUAAAGAGUGUGUAGGCGGUGCUCUAAGUUCGGUGUGAAAUCUCCCGGCUUAACUGGGAGGGUGCGCCGGAAACUGGAGUGCUCGAGCGUGGGAGAGGAAAGCGGAAUUCCUGGUGUAGCGGUGAAAUGCGUAGAUAUCAGGAGGAACACCUGCGGUGUAGACGGCUUUCUGGACCAUUGCUGACGCUGAGACACGAAAGCGUGGGUAGCAAACAGGAUUAGAUACCCUAGUAGUCC
This 756-nucleotide ribosomal RNA is filed under the name uncultured bacterium. RNAcentral describes it as "bacterial SSU rRNA". It matches the Rfam family "Bacterial small subunit ribosomal RNA", at positions 8 to 796 of the family's 1533-position model. The record is from RNAcentral.